RNAcentral lists this long non-coding RNA (1002 nucleotides) under Piliocolobus tephrosceles (Ugandan red Colobus). RNAcentral's name for it is "lncRNA (ENSPTEG00000017261.1)". Lineage: Eukaryota; Metazoa; Chordata; Mammalia; Primates; Cercopithecidae. The record is from RNAcentral.
GUAAUAUUGAUCAUAAUAUCACUAACAGUUAUAACGAAAACUCCACCUGCAGUGUUAACAACUUCACCAAUAGUGUUAACAACUCCAUCAAAGAUGUUAACGAGGAUUCUAUAAAUGUUGAUAACUCAUUUGUUAAUGAUAGGGUUAAUCAAAGCGCUUUUAUUGAGAAAGUAUAUGACCAUAAUGUUGAUCAAAUUGAAUCAAACAAAGAAUUUACAAACGUUUUACCUCAAUAUAAAACAGUAUCACAUCUUAAUGAAAACUAUAUACACAACACUAAUCCACUCGAAAAAAAAAAAACACACACAAAUUAUAUGAACACAAUCAAUAUGGGUCAUAAAAAUGUAAUACAUAAUACACAACCACCAAUCGCAAUACAUGACAAAAUAAUAUACAAAAUGAAAAAUAACAAAAUGAACAAUACACGACAAUAUGGUGGAAACACUUUUAAACAAGCAACCAUUCGAACUGAUUAUAAAAUUAAGCAUGAACAAAAUAUGGAUAGCUAUGUUAACACAUCUUUACUAAAAAAUGAACAUUCUUUUAUAGAAAAAAAUGGUGAAAAAGAAAGAAUACAUUUUAACAAACAAAUAAAUAAUAUUCCUAAAAACUUGAAUGACAUUCCUAAAAACUUGAAUGACAUUCCUAAAAACUUGAAUGAUAUUCGAAUUAUGGGUGGUGCUGAAAAUUGUAGCAGUAGUAGUAGGAGUAGUAGCAGUAGUAGUAACAAAUGUAGCUACAAUAAUAAUAACAGUACAAAGAACAUUAAUAAUAGUGAUAAUAAUAAUAACAUUCAUAACACCAAUUCUGGAAAGGUAUAUGACUCUUUUUAUGAGAAAGAAUACGAGUUACUCUACGAAGAAGUAAAAGAAAUAAUGAAAAAAAUGAUUAUUAUAAAUAACAAAAAAUAUGAUAAAAUAAAUACAAUAAACAACAAAAUAAAUAAUUUAAAUAGUAAAAUAACAAAUGAUAAUAUUAUAAAUAAUUUAACUAAUGAAAUAA